This is a long non-coding RNA of Equus asinus (donkey), 1818 nucleotides long. Lineage: Eukaryota; Metazoa; Chordata; Mammalia; Perissodactyla; Equidae. The record is from Ensembl.
CUGUGAGGAAAUGAUACAUAGUUUAAGUUCUGAAGAGUGAGCAAACAUUAGUCAAGUAUGAGGAUGGGGAAAAGGGAGCAUUCUAGAUAAAGAGAAUGGUUUGUGGGAAGGCCCAGAAAUAUGAAAAAGCACGUCAAGGUCAAGAAACUGAAAAGCCACAGUGGCUGGAGCUUGGAGAGUGAGGAAGUUACCGGUUGUGAGAUUUUUUUUUUUAACUCUCUGGCUGCUCUGGAGUAGAGGGAGCAAGAGAGGACACAGGGACCCCUGGAUGAGGCCAUUACAGUGAUCCAAGUGAAAGAUAAUGGUGGCCUGGGUGAUGGUUGUGACAUCAGGCUUGGGGCAUAGUAGGCAAAUUCCAGAAAUGUUACAGGAGGUAGAAUUGAUAAGAAUUGCUGCUUGGUUGGUUAUGGGAAACAGGAAGUUUUCAAGAAUGACUCCCACAUUUCUGACUAAAUGGUGGUGUUACUCACUGAACUAGACGACUUGGCGAGAAAGUUUAGGAGGGAAGGACAUGAGUUCUGUUUCACCAGAGUGGAUUUCAGGGUACCUGUGAGACAUCCCAGAUGUCAAGUAGGUAGUGGGUUAUAAAGAUCUGGAAAUGGCAGGACAGGUUUCUAUAAGGUGGGUGGAACUUGGCAGCAGCAGCUUCUGGCAAUACUCAUUGCCAGGCAGGUGAAAUCAUCUUAAUUCCAGGGAGGAGCAGUCAGUUAGUUGCUAUGUGGGGCUACUGGGAAGUCCCUAGCCCGUUAGAGAGAGAGAGAGAGAUGUGCGUAGAAGCACAUUUACCGAGUGCCAGUCAUUGUGUCAUGCAUGACCUUAUAUACUCCUCUAAGGAAGGUGUAUUUUCAUGGCUUGUGAAUGAGGAAACUGAGGCUAAAGAGCAUUAAAUUAUCUGCCCAAGGCCAUUCAACUAAUAAGUAGUGCAGUGGAGCAUAUCAGUCCUGGUCUCAACCAGAAACAGGUGGCACACUUGAAAGACGGUAAUUCAAGGAGGGAUUGUUAGUUUGUUUUUAAAAAGGGUAAUCAAACGAGGAUGUAGAGUCGGGGGCCACGAGGAACAGUGCAGUACACUGAGGCUAGGAGCAGCUGAGCUAUUACUACCCCUAGGAUCAAGGUAUCAAGAGAAAAGAGAGGCUCCCAGACUCCACAAGGAGAAAGUUGUCUGUGUAGAAGCUGCCUUGAAAGGAGCAGUGAUCUUCAGCAGAGGGACACGGUCAGCCUGGGGCAACCUCACUCAACUCUCUUUCUCUCCCUCUUAUCUUUUAUCAGCACUCCCAUUGGCCAAACCCAAUAGGAAGCCACAGGGCAGAGAGCUGGGUGGAAAAGGGUGGAGAGUGUGAUCAACAGGGAGCAAAUAGAAAAUAGCAGGCACAUUGGGACUUUCAUUAGGGUCUUCCUGACUCCAAAACCCAUGCUAUUAAACCCUGGGGCUCCCAGGGUCAGAGCAAGAAGGGGUUGCUCAGGGUAAGUCCCUGACGUGAUGGAGUACACAUGGAAACCGGAGCAGAAGCCCAGCCAAGCUUGCAAGUCCUGGACACCAGACUCUCUAGGGAAAGGCUCACUUGGCAAGGAGCCAACUACUCAUAAGGGAUUGAGGUCUCAGUUCAACAUAGUCUGUGAGGAAGUGAAUCCUGCCAACAACCAGUUGAGUAAGCUUAGAAGUAAAUCCUCCCUCGUUGAGUCUUCAAGUGAGAUGACAUCCCCAGCUGACACUUUGACUGCCGCCUUCUGAGAGACCCUGAAGCAGAAGACCCAGCUAAAGUGUGCCCGUAGAACCCGUAGAAGCUGACCCAUCGAAAUUGUGAGAGAAUAAAUGUG